Long non-coding RNA from Salvia splendens (bonfire salvia), 3152 nucleotides. RefSeq lists it as uncharacterized. The record is from RefSeq and is a predicted model, not a curated record. The transcript has 7 exons. NCBI's taxonomy places the organism in Eukaryota, Viridiplantae, Streptophyta, Magnoliopsida, Lamiales, Lamiaceae.
ACCUAUUUCCGUUAAAAAUGUACUUGUAUCAUUCAUCAAUUAAAGUUUGCUAAUUUCAAAGCCAAAUAAUUUGAAGUUAAGAAGAAUGCAUCCGAUAUUUGGGAGAGUGGUAGCGGAGUGGUCAUCUCCGUCGCAGCAAAUCUCCUCGCCGGCGCCGUUUCUGUAUUGCGUGCACCUUAAUGGAAGCGACGAUUCGGCUCUCAGAGUUGUCGCCACCGAUUUUCAGAGCAAUACAUUUCAGGUCAUUAGGUCUCGCCAUCAGCUGGAAGACUUGGUAAUUUAAUCUUUUCAUCCUCACAUAUUAUUAAUCCAAACUGUUUCCUCUUUUGUUUUCUUGUUCCAGUUUAAUGUUUGGAUUCCUGCUAUAUUUUCGCGGGUUGUUUCAGUUAUUGAUCACUUACCGAGAACAAUUACUGAAGUGAUGAUGCUCUAAUCGUAAUGAAAAUGAAAAUAGAAGAUUGAUCUCUUUUUUCUUUUGUUUUUUUGGAAAUACUGGCAUUGAGUCUUUUCUUCGCAAUUUAGGUUUGCUUCAGCCUUGAAAAUGGGGCAAAUUAAGAGUAUUUGGCAAAUGUGUUAUGAACUCUCUUACCUUCAUUUGGAUGACUUGUUUCUUGGCACAUUGCUAUAUAUACUGUGGGUUCAAAGGUCAAAAACAUCGGAAACUAAGCUAUCCAUUAUAGUCUAACUUGGAGUUAACUGAUAUAUUUGGGUUUUAAUUAUUUUGCCUUUGAUAGAUGUUUAUAAGCAGUAACAUUCACCUAGUAUUGUUGGUGAUCGUUGCCUCUGAGGAAUAUAAAGUAAGAAAUGCUGCAAUUGGAGCUAUUUUUAUGAUCUUGGUUUUAAUUUCCGAGGCAUGUGGCUAGCUCAAAGGACCUAUGUGGCAUGUGCCAUGGUCUGUGUCUUGCAUUUUCUUACCUCAUAUGUUAUUUCAUAUUAGCUGUCGCAUGAUAUGGAUUCAAUUACAAGAGAGAAUAUUACGGGUAAGGCUUGCUGGGGUAUUUUGAGAUGAUAUAGGGAUUGGUGGCUCAUGGUCUGAGUAUAUCGACUACAUCACGACUUCCCUAAAAUCAGGAGAUGUGAAGCUUGUCUUGGAUGGUGUAUCAGAAUUGGAAGGUGCUUCUCAGGAAAAAUUAAUCUGCCAAAAAGCAAAAGGAAUGCCACGGAUCUUGUUAGCCCUUUGUAAGCUCGUCAAUGGUGCUGCUAGUGAAGAAAUGGCAAUUCUUUCACUCGAACUAUACAAUGGUUUCAAGGACACUGAGUGUUCACUUGCAGAAGAGAAAGGGAGCAAAUAUCACUUGCAAAAAGCUCUAGCUACUGAACAGGAGAAGAAUGCUUAUCUCCAGAAUAAACAUGACAUUUUACUCAGGAAAGCACAAGUCACAGAAAAUAAAUGAUAGAAAAGACCAAGGUUCUUCAUCUGCUAUAGUUUCAGCAGAGUCACCAGACAAGAAAACUGCUUCUGACACAAACGUAAGAAAGGGAACUAACCGUGUUGUACCGGCAUACCGCAGGUCUAAAGUAAGAGGAGCUAUUUUAAAUGACACCGAAGAUGAUGCGUAGAAUUUCAAAGGAUCAUGGCAACAUGUCUUUGUAUCAUGUUCAUUACACAGUGUCACAAGUUGAUAGUUCUCGAUAUCAACCGACGCUCAGUGGUUGGAGUACUGAGUCUUGCUGUGCGUUAGUGGAUUUUAUUUUUAAAUAGGAAAUGGAAAUAUCUCACAGGCAGCAUCUUCUGAUGUGAAUUUUAACUGCUAGUACAUGUUCUUGUGACAAUUUUUCUUGUCUUUUUAUCAUUUGUUAUUACUAGAAAUGAAAUUAGAACGAUCUGGACCAUCUGGAAUUGAUUUGUCAGAAAAAAUACAUUAGUAGCCUGCUUGAUUGCCAUUUUCAAAAUUAUACAACUUGUCGGCUCUUGCUACUGUGGUUGUGGCUUCAUUGCUUAGCAACUGCUGGUAAAAUAUUUGCGACUAAGAUUAAAUUCUGCUUUCAACUGGGAUCUGGAAGGUUUCAGCUUUCAGGCAUGCUUACACUUGAGAUUUGAGCAUCUGGAUUCGCAGCAUUUCGUAUAUAAUCUCCUUGCUGUGCUUGAUCUACAUGAUCAACUUUUGCAACUCUGCGAUUUUUUACAGAACAGGCACCCUCCCUGUCCUCUUGAUUUGUAUUUCUUCUCGCUGAAAGAUAUUGACAAGGUAUGGAGUAAUUAUUAACUAGGCUGUACAGUUUUGGAGUUGAAAUAAGUACGAUACGAGAAGCUAUCAAUUCCGUACGUUCUGCAAGUUCAUUUAUAUUCUGAUUCCCUGUAUUCAUCUAUACUGCUUAAAGUCUAUUCAGUGCUUUGAACAUUGAGGUUCUUUACGUUUUGAUCGAUAUUAUUUGUUUCCAUAGCCUAUUUUUUCUAUGCCAAAACUAUGAUGACUCUACUGCUAAGAGCAAAGAUUGGGGAAAGUGUACCUGGUCCCUCUCUUGAGUGCUUUCUCGUCUUGGCCUUCUUCUUCCUCUUUGAACUGAGAGAUACAGGUAAGAACAUCUUUAGUAAAAACACUUCGCUUUCCAUGCUUUCGCUCCUGCAUAUUGGUUUAGUGUUGGCGCUUUUCGUUAUCAAGGGGGUUUUAUGCUUCACUUUCUCGUCAUCUGUUACCGCACCCUCCUUGUCUUGAUGCUCGACUAUAUCUUUGAGCGUCAGUUCAUAUGAAGAUUCAGGAACGUCUUUGAGCAUCUCCAUGAGCUCCCUUCUACCAUCAACAAUUGCCCUUAAACGGGACGUUGGGGAGAGGCAGCUAUACUGGUGGUUCUCAGGAAGCAAAGUGGAGGUUUCCGGUCUUCUCCACAGUGGAGGCGAUGGCGCUUCAACUUGAUCUUCUCCGAACAUUUGGAAUUCAAACAACUCAUCCUCGCAGCAACGGUGACCAACCGAUAACCUUUCUUCCCAAAACUUGAAAUCGCUCGAUCUUCCCAUCACUCCAGGUAUCGUCUCAUCAACUGCGUUUCGAUUUUGAUUUUGGUUUCGGUUUCCUUGAUGAAGAAUGAAGGGUGAAGGUUAUGAUAGGAGAGUAGAGGCUAUGAAGAGUGGUUGGUUCAUUAAAUUAAAGAUGAUUACAAGUCGAAUCUAUAUCUAUUUUGAUAUUAGAAAAGUUGCAAUUUUCUACAACUUA